GACAUUGAUCUAUCACAAUCCACACCGCGAACCAUCAUUGUUGCCUUCUGAGGUUGGCCUAAUAACCGCCUCAGAGCCGGGGGUCGUAAGCUGAAACAUUGCUUGCGUGCUCCCGGGUCGUCCGGCAUGCAUGUGUGCUUCUUGCCAUGCAUGCAGGGCGUCGGUCUUUUAAAUACUAACCAACCAACACCAAACCAAAUCUAAUCUAUAAACCGAGUGCUUGGCUUAGAGCCAACGCUCACCAACCAAGACAACUCUCAACAACGGAUAUCUUGGCUCUCGGAUCGAUGAAGAACGCAGCGAAAUGCGAUACGUAGUGUGAAUUGCAGAAAUACGUGAAUCAUCGAAUCUUUGAACGCAAAUUGCGCUCGAGGCUUCGGCCAAGAGCAUGUCUGCCUCAGCGUCGGGUUAAUACUCGCUCCCAAAUCUUGAUUGGGAACGGAACUGGCUUUCCCGGCUUGGUUCAUUCUAAGCCGGGUCUGCUGAAGUGCAGAGGUUGAUGCAUGGACCCGCUAAAGGGCCUCUACUGGGUAGGCAAUCUAAUUGCUAAUGCUUUAGUAGAUGGCUUGGGUAGAUGCCUGUCGACCCUAACCAGGAACUUGGAGCCCCUGUGCUCUAAGCAAACCCCUUAUUUUCUCGACCUGAGCUCAGGCAAGAACACCCGCUGAACUUAAGCAUAUCAAUAAGCGGAGGAAAAGAAAUAAACCAGGA
Molecule: ribosomal RNA, 711 nt
Filed under: Chlamydomonas sp. KU106
Lineage: Eukaryota; Viridiplantae; Chlorophyta; Chlorophyceae; Chlamydomonadales; Chlamydomonadaceae
Description: eukaryotic LSU rRNA
Rfam family: 5.8S ribosomal RNA (bases 253-406)
Source: RNAcentral